GAACGAUGCUUUCGGGCAUAGUGGCGCACGGGUGCGUAACGCGUGGGAAUCUGCCCCUUGGUUCGGAAUAACAGUUAGAAAUGACUGCUAAUACCGGAUGACGACGUAAGUCCAAAGAUUUAUCGCCGAGGGAUGAGCCCGCGUAGGAUUAGCUAGUUGGUGUGGUAAAGGCGCACCAAGGCGACGAUCCUUAGCUGGUCUGAGAGGAUGAUCAGCCACACUGGGACUGAGACACGGCCCAGACUCCUACGGGAGGCAGCAGUGGGGAAUAUUGGACAAUGGGCGCAAGCCUGAUCCAGCAAUGCCGCGUGAGUGAUGAAGGCCUUAGGGUUGUAAAGCUCUUUUACCCGGGAUGAUAAUGACAGUACCGGGAGAAUAAGCCCCGGCUAACUCCGUG
RNAcentral lists this ribosomal RNA (397 nucleotides) under uncultured bacterium. Its description in RNAcentral is "bacterial SSU rRNA". It matches the Rfam family "Bacterial small subunit ribosomal RNA", at positions 64 to 507 of the family's 1533-position model. The record is from RNAcentral.